This 583-nucleotide ribosomal RNA is filed under the name uncultured bacterium. Its description in RNAcentral is "bacterial SSU rRNA". It matches the Rfam family "Bacterial small subunit ribosomal RNA", at positions 102 to 672 of the family's 1533-position model. The record is from RNAcentral.
ACGGGUGAGUAACACGUGGGCAACCUGCCCUUGAGACUGGGAUAACUUCGGGAAACCGGAGCUAAUACCGGAUAAUAUAAGGAACCUCCUGGUUCCUUGUUGAAAGAUGGUUUCGGCUAUCACUUAAGGAUGGGCCCGCGGCGCAUUAGCUAGUUGGUGAGGUAACGGCUCACCAAGGCGACGAUGCGUAGCCGACCUGAGAGGGUGAUCGGCCACACUGGGACUGAGACACGGCCCAGACUCCUACGGGAGGCAGCAGUAGGGAUCUUCCACAAUGGACGAAAGUCUGAUGGAGCAACGCCGCGUGAGUGAUGAAGGCCUUCGGGUCGUGAAGCUCUGUUGUUAGGGAAGAACAAGUGCGAGAGUAACUGUUCGCACCUUGACGGUACCUAACCAGAAAGCCACGGCUAACUACGUGCCAGCAGCCGCGGUAAUACGUAGGUGGCAAGCGUUAUCCGGAAUUAUUGGGCGUAAAGCGCGCGCAGGUGGUUUCUUAAGUCUGAUGUGAAAGCCCACGGCUCAACCGUGGAGGGUCAUUGGAAACUGGGGAACUUGAGUGCAGAAGAGGAAAGUGGAAUUCCAA